This 142-nucleotide small nuclear RNA is filed under the name Schistosoma mansoni. The record is from RNAcentral. Lineage: Eukaryota; Metazoa; Platyhelminthes; Trematoda; Strigeidida; Schistosomatidae.
UGGGCCAGAUACGGCCUAGAAAAAUUGCAUCCGACAACGAUAUUUCACGCCAUCGGUGCGGGGUAUUGGGAGUAGUUUUCAACUAGCAAUAACCGCGCCUCAGAUAAACUUCAUUGGCUACGGUACCGCCACUGCGCAAAGU